GACGAACGCUGGCGGCGUGCUUAACACAUGCAAGUCGAACGGAAAGGCCCUGCUUUUGUGGGGUGCUCGAGUGGCGAACGGGUGAGUAACACGUGAGUAACCUGCCCUUGACUUUGGGAUAACUUCAGGAAACUGGGGCUAAUACCGGAUAGGAGCUCCUGCUGCAUGGUGGGGGUUGGAAAGUUUCGGCGGUUGGGGAUGGACUCGCGGCUUAUCAGCUUGUUGGUGGGGUAGUGGCUUACCAAGGCUUUGACGGGUAGCCGGCCUGAGAGGGUGGCCGGCCACAUUGGGACGGAGAUACGGCCCAGACUCCUACGGGAGGCAGCAGUGGGGAAUAUUGCACAAUGGGCGGAAGCCGGAUGCAGCAACGCCGCGUGCGGGAGGACGGCCUUCGGGUGGUAAACCGCUUUCGCCUGUGACGAAGCGUGAGGGACGGUAAUGGGUAAAGAAGCACCGGCUAACUACGU
Molecule: ribosomal RNA, 467 nt
Filed under: uncultured bacterium
Lineage: Bacteria
Description: partial 16S ribosomal RNA
Rfam family: Bacterial small subunit ribosomal RNA
Source: RNAcentral